This is a non-coding RNA of Callithrix jacchus (white-tufted-ear marmoset), 509 nucleotides long. The record is from RefSeq and is a predicted model, not a curated record. NCBI's taxonomy places the organism in Eukaryota, Metazoa, Chordata, Mammalia, Primates, Cebidae.
AACUCCCUGCUGAUUCUCUCACUCUUUUGGAGACAAACAUGUAAAAGUACACUUUACUCAGGUAAUCAAAUGAGAGCUAGAAAGGAGGCUACUGAUUUUUAAUGGAGCAUAUUUGUUUUUGUCCACCGAACUACUGCCCACUAAGUUUGAAAAAAGACACCAGUAAACCAAGUCUCCUCUCUUGAAAUAUAGCCAAAGAACCGAGGAUCAUUUGGGAGACAGAGACUUUCCCUUCUUGACAGCAACCACUUACAGACUGAAGAUAGGGAGGGUGUCUAUUAAAGGCAAUCCUGACCAGUGGCAAUGGAGCAUAUGAACUCAAGGAACUUUACUUACCAAGGUGAUUGACAAUAUAUCGGCCCAGGAAUCCUGUUGCUCCAAACACAGUGGCCACGACCCCACUGAAUGAGGAACGUCCACCUUUCCCAUGAGGUAUGAGGGCAUGAUGAAGCUGGCGAUGGGGUGGGCCAUGACACACAGAUGUGGCUACUGCAGUAAUGGCAGAACCU